GGCGAAACCAAUGAACCUUUGAAUGGCUCUCAUCCCAGUGGGUAAAGGCCACUGUAGAACAGACUCUAGUUUUUUAGGAUCCAUCUGAAACCCCGAGGCAGAAAUAUUAUAUCCUAAAUUGUCUUUCUGCUUCCGACAGUCUAGUGACAGCUGCAUGGGUUCGGGUUCGGGUUCGGACAGUACAGGAAUUUCAGGGACAAUAG
This is a non-coding RNA of Pelobates cultripes (western spadefoot toad), 203 nucleotides long. The record is from the annotation of a GenBank genome assembly. NCBI's taxonomy places the organism in Eukaryota, Metazoa, Chordata, Amphibia, Anura, Pelobatidae.